This 63-nucleotide ribosomal RNA is filed under the name Trypanosoma brucei. Its description in RNAcentral is "partial ribosomal RNA". Lineage: Eukaryota; Euglenozoa; Kinetoplastea; Trypanosomatida; Trypanosomatidae. The record is from RNAcentral.
ACGUGCGCGAUGGAUGACUUGGCUUCUUAUUUGGUUGAAGAAUGCAGCAAAGGCGACAAGUGG